UUCAUAUUAAAGACAUAGAGGAGUUACAAGAAGAUUUGGAUAUGAUGAGGCAAGAGAAGGAUGCUUGGGAAGUCAAGUUCACACUUCAAACCUUGAGAAGAUAGAAUUCUAAAAGCGGUUGAAGAAAAAGGAUGACUUGAUAGAGUUGCUUGAGCAACAUGCUAUGAAGAGGUCAAGGGACCAAGAGGAUUUAUUUUCCUCUAACAGUUCAUCAUCUACCCAUCUUCCUAC
Molecule: long non-coding RNA, 231 nt
Filed under: Lathyrus oleraceus (garden pea)
Lineage: Eukaryota; Viridiplantae; Streptophyta; Magnoliopsida; Fabales; Fabaceae
Description: Pisum sativum (pea) long non-coding RNA (PSAT_LNC008017)
Source: RNAcentral